ACCACUGCUAAUCUAUACUGCUGCCAAUCUAUCUAUUGCUGCUAAUCUAUUACUGCUGUCAAUCUAUCUACUGCUGUCAAUCUAUCUAUUGCUGUCAAUCUAUCUAUCACUGCUAAUCUAUUGCUGCUAAUCUAUUACUGCUAAUCUAUUGCUGCUAAUCUAUCUAUCACUGCUAAUCUAUUGCUGUCAAUCUAUCUACCGCUGUCAAUCUAUCUACCACUGUCAAUCUAUCUACCACUGCCAAUCUAUCUACCGCUGUCAAUCUAUCUACCACUGCUAAUCUAUCACUGCUAAUCUAUCGCUGCUAAUCUAUUGCUGCUAAUCUAUCACUGCUAAUCUAUUGCUGCUAAUCUAUCUAUCACUGCUAAUCUAUCACUGCCAAUCUAUCUACUGCUGUCAAUCUAUCUACCACUGCUAAUCUAUCACUGCUAAUCUAUCACUGCCAAUCUAUAUAGAGUAAAUUAUGGUCUCAUUUGGUUCUAUUUUGUAAAAUGAGAUCAAAUGGAACUGAGAUCACUAAUUUAUUAAUAAAACAUGAUCUGGAACUAGAUUUAUAAUAUAAACAGUGUAAAGUAACUAAUUUACUAAACACUAUAUG
RNAcentral lists this small RNA (598 nucleotides) under Histoplasma capsulatum. RNAcentral's name for it is "hypothetical RNA". RNAcentral also lists the same sequence under 1 other name. Lineage: Eukaryota; Fungi; Ascomycota; Eurotiomycetes; Onygenales; Ajellomycetaceae. The record is from RNAcentral.